CAGCAGUAAACUAUGCGCGUUAGGUGUACUGGUGACCACGAGUCACCGGGGUGCCGAAGGGAAACCGUGAAACGUGCCGCCUGGGAAGUACGGUCGCAAGGCUGAACUUAAGGAUUGGCGGGGGAGCACCACAACGGGUGGAGCCUGCGGUUUAAUUGGACUCAACGCCGGAAAUCUCACCGGAUAGGACAGACAUAUGAUAGUCGGGCUGAAGACUCUACUUGAUGAUCUGAGAGGAGGUGCAUGGCGUAGACGUCU
Molecule: ribosomal RNA, 258 nt
Filed under: uncultured archaeon
Lineage: Archaea
Description: partial 16S ribosomal RNA
Rfam family: Archaeal small subunit ribosomal RNA
Source: RNAcentral